GAUGAACGCUGGCGGCGUGCCUAAUACAUGCAAGUCGAGCGAACAGACGAGGAGCUUGCUCCUCUGACGUUAGCGGCGGACGGGUGAGUAACACGUGGGUAACCUACCUAUAAGACUGGGAUAACUUCGGGAAACCGGAGCUAAUACCGGAUAAUAUAUUUAACCGCAUGGUUCAAUAGUGAAAGACGGUUUUGCUGUCACUUAUAGAUGUAUCCGCGCCGCAUUAGCUAGUUGGUAAGGUAACGGCUUACCAAGGCGACGAUGCGUAGCCGACCUGAGAGGGUGAUCGGCCACACUGGAACUGAGACACGGUCCAGACUCCUACGGGAGGCAGCAGUAGGGAAUCUUCCGCAAUGGGCGAAAGCCUGACGGAGCAACGCCGCGUGAGUGAUGAAGGUCUUCGGAUCGUAAAACUCUGUUAUUAGGGAAGACCAAAUGUGUAAGUAACUAUGCACGUCUUGACGGUACCUAAUCAGAAAGCCACGGCUAACUACGUG
Molecule: ribosomal RNA, 497 nt
Filed under: uncultured bacterium
Lineage: Bacteria
Description: partial 16S ribosomal RNA
Rfam family: Bacterial small subunit ribosomal RNA
Source: RNAcentral